GAACACUACGGCCUAGACCCCAUCACCUACACAUAAUAUAGCGGGUGGCACUGGGCUGUCCUGCAAAUUUCAUGUGAAUAGCUGCAUUUGUGUAAACUGCUGGUUUUAUAUGUGUUUAAAAGAAAUGUAUUCCUCUGAUUGUUCGGUAGAAUCUUUUGAAUAAAGUAAGGGAAUGAAACUACUGAACAAUCAGACCUCCCCUGUGUGAAGUGUGUCCUCAAUUACCCGUUGCAACAUUGUUGCGAACGGGUAAUUGACCAGUUAAGUAGCCGUCCUUUGUUCUCGGGGGUGGCCGCCAUUUGACAAACGAACACGUGGCGGUGGCCAUUUUAAA
Pelobates cultripes (western spadefoot toad) is the source of this 334-nucleotide non-coding RNA. The record is from the annotation of a GenBank genome assembly. Lineage: Eukaryota; Metazoa; Chordata; Amphibia; Anura; Pelobatidae.